GGGUACCUAGCUUAGUGGUUAAAGCAUUCCCCUUCAUAAGUAUAUAAUACUUGAUUAUUGUAUAUUUAUGAAGGGGAAAAGCGAAGGUUCGAAUCCUUCGGUACCCA
RNAcentral lists this transfer RNA (107 nucleotides) under Anaerobutyricum hallii. Its description in RNAcentral is "tRNA-OTHER". It matches the Rfam family "tRNA". Rfam says of the family: Transfer RNA (tRNA) molecules are approximately 80 nucleotides in length. The record is from RNAcentral. Lineage: Bacteria; Bacillati; Bacillota; Clostridia; Lachnospirales; Lachnospiraceae.